GACGAACGCUGGCGGCGUGCUUAACACAUGCAAGUCGAACGGAAAGGCCCUGCUUUUGUGGGGUGCUCGAGUGGCGAACGGGUGAGUAACACGUGAGUAACCUGCCCUUGACUUUGGGAUAACUUCAGGAAACUGGGGCUAAUACCGGAUCGGAGCUCCUGCUGCAUGGUGGGGGUUGGAAAGUUUCGGCGGUUGGGGAUGGACUCGCGGCUUAUCAGCUUGUUGGUGGGGUAGUGGCUUACCAAGGCUUUGACGGGUAGCCGGCCUUAGAGGGUGACCGGCCACAUUGGGACUGAGAUACGGCCCAGACUCCUACGGGAGGCAGCAGUGGGGAAUAUUGCACAAUGGGCGGAAGCCUGAUGCAGCAACGCCGCGUGCGGGAUGACGGCCUUCGGGUUGUAAACCGCUUUCGCCUGUGACGAAGCGUGAGUGACGGUAAUGGGUAAAGAAGCACCGGCUAACUACGUG
RNAcentral lists this ribosomal RNA (468 nucleotides) under uncultured bacterium. RNAcentral describes it as "partial 16S ribosomal RNA". It matches the Rfam family "Bacterial small subunit ribosomal RNA", at positions 28 to 507 of the family's 1533-position model. The record is from RNAcentral.